RNAcentral lists this ribosomal RNA (562 nucleotides) under uncultured fungus. Its description in RNAcentral is "eukaryotic LSU rRNA". The stretch from base 209 to 362 matches the Rfam family "5.8S ribosomal RNA". Lineage: Eukaryota; Fungi. The record is from RNAcentral.
AGUCGUACAGGUCUCCGUAGGUGAACCUACGGAGGGAUCAUUACACAAAUAUGAAGGCGGGCUGGAACCUCUCGGGGUUACAGCCUUGCUGAAUUAUUCACCCUUGUCUUUUGCGUACUUCUUGUUUCCUUGGUGGGUUCGCCCACCACUAGGACAAACAUAAACCUUUUGUAAUUGCAAUCAGCGUCAGUAACAAAUUAAUAAUUACAACUUUCAACAACGGAUCUCUUGGUUCUGGCAUCGAUGAAGAACGCAGCGAAAUGCGAUAAGUAGUGUGAAUUGCAGAAUUCAGUGAAUCAUCGAAUCUUUGAACGCACAUUGCGCCCUUUGGUAUUCCAAAGGGCAUGCCUGUUCGAGCGUCAUUUGUACCCUCAAGCUUUGCUUGGUGUUGGGCGUCUUGUCUCUAGCUUUGCUGGAGACUCGCCUUAAAGUAAUUGGCAGCCGGCCUACUGGUUUCGGAGCGCAGCACAAGUCGCACUCUCUAUCAGCAAAGGUCUAGCAUCCAUUAAGCCUUUUUUUCAACUUUUGACCUCGGAUCAGGUAGGGAUACCCGCUGAACUUA